Molecule: long non-coding RNA, 3843 nt
Organism: Triticum aestivum (bread wheat)
Lineage: Eukaryota; Viridiplantae; Streptophyta; Magnoliopsida; Poales; Poaceae
Exons: 3
Source: RefSeq, a predicted model, not a curated record
CCCGCUGUCCUCCCGUCAUCUUAUCCAUUUCUCCUGCGACAGUGACGGCGGCUUCGCCAAUUCCGUUGUGCGCUUGCGACGGCCGCCGCCGUGCCUCACGCGGGAGGACGGAGGGCGCUCGCCGGGAGGAUGGAAGACAGCGCGGCGAGGCGGGGCAGUGGUGGUGGCGUGUGCGGCGGAGACGGCGCGGCAAGGCCGGGCAGUGGCGGUGGUUGUCCGGCCAUCGUGCCUCACGCGGGAGGAUGGACGACGCUCGCCGGGGCGUGUGCGGCGGAGACGGCUUCUGCCGCGCGUCGAGGUGGAGCAGCAGAGGACGGGAAGGCAAGGAGGUAGGGUGGGUACGCUGUGCACCAGCGCCGCCUUCGUCUUCCACCUCCUCCAAAAAUGCGCGCUCGCCGCGCGCGCUGGCGGUGGCGCGGCGGUCCUCGCCCUCGCGCACCCGUACUCACACGACGACCGCGUCCUCCACAAGAUGGUAAGCCCCCCGGCCGCUCACCCGCAUUUCCUCGGCAGCAGGGCCAUCCUCGCGGACCACGCGGCGGCGGUGACGCUCUUCGGGCACCCCUGCGGCCGACUGAGCCUGGCCAUCUAUGAGGACACGCGGGCGCCACCGGCGUUCCUCAUCGAGCUGCCCAUGCUCGCGGCCGGGCUGCACAGGGGGAUGGCCACGGGACCUUGAAGAUGGCGCUGGAGACCGACACCCACAGCGCGCGACGACCACUCCUGUCCAACGACGAGCGGCACGUGCUGCGGUUGCUGCGCGGCGUCUCCAUGGGCGCCGGGGUGCUGCCACCGCCGCCUGCUGAUGGCUCCAAUUGCCCCGACGGCGUCCUACUCCCGUGUCUGAUUAGAAUUGAAGAGUCCUGAACGUGUCCUUGUCCAACACAGAUCAAUGUAAUGCCCGACCCGGAUUUGACUUGACUGCUAUAAGAUGGAAGCGUCCUGGGCCUGAAUCUCCAUCAGGUUCCGUCCUUGGACCAUAGUCUCCAUCAAAUUCUGUCGAAAAUUUCACGAAGCGUCCAAUGUCGCCGCCGAGUGGUCCAAUGUCGUCUGCAGCGGCUACAGGAGAGAUUUCGUGUUGAUGAGAGAGGACCAGAAUGUCGGUUGUUCAGUACUUCAUGCAAAGAUACAACUACAAUUUGCAGUACUACUUGGCGCCUGCAGUCUAGAAGUGAUUCACGGCCUGCAAAUUUGCCUACGGAGGCACUGUAUCCAUGCUCGCUGUUUACUAAAAAUUAGACAUCGGAUGCUCAUAUUUUAGUUAGACAUCAGAUGUUCAGUGUAUUGUACAAAUUGACUGCAGGCGUGCAACAUUGUUGAAGGGCAAAGGUACUCUAAGCUGAAUGAUAAACAGGUCACCAACAUACUUAGAGCUUCCUUGGGUUUGUGCAGGACAUGUCCGGUUUCACUAAGUCAGUUUCACUUUCACGAAGACAGUGGAAAUGCAGAAAAAAGAAAGCACGUGGAUUUAGAAAUUUCAGCACUGUAGAGCUUAGUUGAAAUGGAAAACGAGAUUUAUAGCAUCCAGCGAGAGUGGUGAUUCGAUUUUUAAUGAUUGAUACUUUGGUUGUGAGAAGACAUGAGAUGGAUUUGGGCGGGGCAGUGGGUUUGCUCGCGAGGAGGUGGGAAGGAUGAAGAUAGUGGAAGAACCUUGAGAUGAUGGUGAUAUUACUGACUCAAUCCUUUAUUAGCUCUAUUUGUGUGGAUCUUUCAGGUGCAUGAAUGGUAACUUGUGCAAAACUACGCUUCCCUUGUCAUUUGAUAAUUUUUAUCUUUAUGAUGCUCAUAACAUAUUUUUCAUCUAUACUUAUAGGAGUUUGUUACCUUCUUUUGGUCGAAGAAUAAGAUGUGGGUAAUAUAUGCAUUGCCGACUUAGCUUAACGUUUUUAGAGCAGAAUUUCUAUAAAUUUUAUACAGGUAUUGUGCUGAAGUCCGUGGAAUAGGUUAAUGGCCAAGAGUGUUUAUAAGUUAUCAAGUCGAGCACAUAAGUCUGGAAUUAGCUAAUUUUCCCACUGAAAAGUAGAUAGAGAUUUCUGAAGACAUGAGACAUUAAUACAUAGCAUGUAUACAUAGCCGUCUUCUGAAUUCUAUGAUUCUUCAUACCUUGAGGCUGUUAAACAUCUAUGCACCUUUCAUUUGAUGAGGUACAUUCAAAUUGGGUCUGUUUAUAACUUUGAUGAAAAAUUAUCUUCCCUUAGAUGGUCAAGGUUCUAGAGCUCAUUGCUAUGCAAGAAAGCAUAUAUUUGAUUCACGGAAUUGCCAGUAGAAUUGGAGUGAGCGUGAGUAUCAAUUGCUCGGAGAGGAAAUCAUGAACUGCGAUCAGAAUAUUCUCUCACUGAAAUAUAUUUGAUCUGUGUGUGUAUCCUGGCCACUUGAUAACCGAGUACUAUCGUUUGUCUUCCCAUUUGAUUUCUCAUAUGAAGCUACUAAUUUUGACAAUUCCUUUUAUUUUACAACACUAUUGCUUAUGUUUUCCUAUGGAAAGUAAACUAGAGUGAAUUAAUGAUUUGUUUUUCUUUAGAUGUUGUCGGUCGGGUGUCCUCUACUACUGAAGUUUUACCACCAUCUGGUGGUGCUUGAGAGCAGAGAUGGCAUACUUUCAUCGCAGCGACCAAAGCCCCAGCGCCGCUGGUGCUGUACACCCCUGUACCCCUCGAAAUCCAGUGCCUCGCGUCUGCCCAACAUGAACACCUCCUCAAUAUGUACAUCUCUGAAUUUUGCCAUUGCUAGAGAAAGUAGAGAAUUGUUUUGCUGUAGCUAUAAUUUGACUUUAGAAGAUAUACUUCUCUCUUUUUGACGUCAAUUUUUCAGUUGACGUUUCCGUCCAGUCUCAUGUCUUUCUCUUUAGCAGGGAUCAGUGAGUACUAAACGAGCAAAAAUGUCCUUCUCUUUUUCAUAUUUCUUCCUUUUCCUUACUACUUUUGUGGCUCCAAAUCUCAUGAUGGCUCUAUGUCUGUUCUUUUUGUUGACAUGGAUUUUACCCUGAAAAUUUUCUUCCGAUCUACAAUGUUCUGCCAUCUAAAUUUGUCUGUAUAAGUGUAUAUUGUGAAUGAGUAGACACUUGUGCAGAAGCCCAAUGGGAUGAAAUUACGGACUACAGAGAGGUGUAAUUAUUAAUUAAUUUCUUGCUUUAAAAGAUAUGCAACUAGCAGAGUUUCUUAUUAUUAUCAAUUGGAUUAUGACCGAAGUGAAGAACUUAUGUGGACAGUCUGGCAGAUUUCGGUGGCAAGAUUUUUGUACAAUUACAGUGGCAGAUUUCAGAAAUUUGUAGAGCACAUGAUUUACAAGAACAAGAUAUUCUGUCAAGCCAUGGAUAUCAACAAUCAGUCAAGCAAAGAAAUAUUCACGGGAGAUAUACAGGGAUCCACAAGAAUAUGCACCGUAUGGCACUACCCUUUUGUCAUGGAGCCACUAUCACAUUUUGGUCAGCAAUCAGUUCAAGCAAUUCUCAGCGCAAUUAGUCAGAAGUUGGAAUUUACAUCUAAACGAACAAUACAUCAAGCAACAGAAGAAAGAGUGGUCAUCUCUUUUUCUUGGCACCAAGAUGCCAUACAAGCAUUCAGACUUCGGAAUCGCACAAGCAGUUUGUAUAUAAAUGAUGUGCCAUAUCGUUUUAACAUGGACACUUCAAAAGAAUAUCUGCCAAGAGUGGUCGCUGAUCACUAUGAUUAUAGUAGUCCUAAAGAGUUCGCCUCUGCGUUUCUGUUCACAUGUAGUUGAUGUUUGAGCCUUUUAGAAGUAUAUGGCGUUGAUUAAAUUAUGUUUCUUUUGGCAACAACAUACGAAAUGGAGAAAUUUUUUAGGUUUAGGAUAAAAUUGUUCUAGAUUUUGAGAAGAUUGUUA